CCUACGGGAGGCAGCAGUGAGGAAUAUUGGACAAUGGGCGCGAGCCUGAACCAGCGACGUAGCGUGAAGGAUGAAUGCCCUACGGGUUGUAAACUUCUUUUAUAAAGGAAUAAAGUUAGACUCGUGUGCCUUUUUGUAUGUAUUUUAUGAAUAAGGAUCGGCUAACUCCGUUCCAGCACCCGCGGUAAUACGGAGGAUCCGACCGUUAUACGGAUUUAUUGGGUUUAUAGGGAGCGUAGAUGGGUGUUUAAGUUAGUUGUGAAAGUUUGCGGCUCAACCGUACAAUUGCAAUUGAUACUGGCAGCCUUGAGUACAGUUGAGGUAGGCGGAAUUCGUGGUGUAGCGGUGAAAUGCUUAGAUAUCACGAAGAACUACGAUUGCGAAGGCAGCCUACUAAACUGCCACUGACAUUGAUGCUCGAAAGUGUGGGUAUCAAACAGGAUUAGAUACCCCUGGUAGUC
RNAcentral lists this ribosomal RNA (461 nucleotides) under uncultured bacterium. Its description in RNAcentral is "partial 16S ribosomal RNA". It matches the Rfam family "Bacterial small subunit ribosomal RNA", at positions 338 to 795 of the family's 1533-position model. The record is from RNAcentral.